Molecule: ribosomal RNA, 251 nt
Filed under: uncultured bacterium
Lineage: Bacteria
Description: partial 16S ribosomal RNA
Rfam family: Bacterial small subunit ribosomal RNA
Source: RNAcentral
UACGGGGGGGGCAAGCGUUGUUCGGAAUGACUGGGCGUAAAGGGCACGUAGGCGGUGAAUCGGGUUGAAAGUGAAAGUCGCCAAAAACUGGCGGAAUGCUCUCGAAACCAAUUAACUUGAGUGAGACAGAGGAGAGUGGAAUUUCGUGUGUAGGGGUGAAAUCCGGAGAUCUACGAAGGAACGCCAAAAGCGAAGGCAGCUCUCUGGGUCCCUACCGACGCUGGGGUGCGAAAGCGUGGGGAGCAAACAGG